Molecule: ribosomal RNA, 403 nt
Filed under: uncultured bacterium
Lineage: Bacteria
Description: bacterial SSU rRNA
Rfam family: Bacterial small subunit ribosomal RNA
Source: RNAcentral
GAUGAACGCUAGCUACAGGCUUAACACAUGCAAGUCGAGGGGCAGCAUGAAGUUUGCUUGCAAACUUUGAUGGCGACCGGCGCACGGGUGAGUAACGCGUAUCCAACCUGCCCCAUACUCGGGUAUAGCCCAGCGAAAGCUGGAUUAAUCCCCGAUGUCACCUUUAUGGUGCAUGCCAUAUUGGUUAAAGUUAUUCGGUACGGGAUGGUGAUGCGUCUGAUUAGGUAGUAGGCGGGGGUAACGGGCCCACCCUAGCCGACGAUCAGUAGGGGUUCUGAGAGGAAGGUCCCCCACACUGGAACUGAGACACGGUCCAGACUCCUACGGGAGGCAGCAGUGAGGAAUAUUGGUCAAUGGAGGCAACUCUGAACCAGCCAAGUAGCGUGCAGGAUGACGGCCCUAU